RNAcentral lists this ribosomal RNA (506 nucleotides) under uncultured bacterium. RNAcentral describes it as "bacterial SSU rRNA". It matches the Rfam family "Bacterial small subunit ribosomal RNA", at positions 8 to 507 of the family's 1533-position model. The record is from RNAcentral.
AGAGUUUGAUCCUGGCUCAGAUUGAACGCUGGCGGCAUGCUUUACACAUGCAAGUCGAACGGCAGCACGGGGGCAACCCUGGUGGCGAGUGGCGAACGGGUGAGUAAUAUAUCGGAACGUACCCGGAAAUGGGGGAUAACGUAGCGAAAGUUACGCUAAUACCGCAUAUGCCCUAAGGGGGAAAGCGGGGGAUUCGCAAGAACCUCGCGUUUUUGGAGCGGCCGAUAUCGGAUUAGCUAGUAGGUGAGGUAAAGGCUCACCUAGGCGACGAUCCGUAGCUGGUCUGAGAGGACGACCAGCCACACUGGAACUGAGACACGGUCCAGACUCCUACGGGAGGCAGCAGUGGGGAAUUUUGGACAAUGGGCGCAAGCCUGAUCCAGCCAUGCCGCGUGAGUGAAGAAGGCCUUCGGGUUGUAAAGCUCUUUCAGCCGGAAAGAAAACGCACGGGUUAAUAACCUGUGUGGAUGACGGUACCGGAAGAAGAAGCACCGGCUAACUACGUG